CCUACGGGAGGCAGCAGUGAGGAAUAUUGGUCAAUGGGCAUAAGCCUGAACCAGCCAAGUCGCGUGAGUGAUGAAGGUUCUAUGGAUCGUAAACCUCUUUUAUAAGGGAGUAAAUUGCGGUACGUGUCCCGGUUUGUAUGUACCUUAUGAAUAAGGAUCGGCGAACUCCGUGCCAGCAGCCGCGGUAAUACGGAGGAGCCGAGCGUUAUCCGGAUUUAAUGGGUUUAAAGGGUGCGUAGGCGGCAUUUUAAGUCAGCCGUGAAAUUCUGUGGCUCAACCAUAGAAUUGCCGUUGAAACUGGGAGGCUUGAGUAUGUUUGAGGUAGGCGGAAUGCGUGGUGUAGCGGUGAAAUGCUUAGAUAUCACGCAGAACACC
This 375-nucleotide ribosomal RNA is filed under the name uncultured bacterium. RNAcentral describes it as "partial 16S ribosomal RNA". It matches the Rfam family "Bacterial small subunit ribosomal RNA", at positions 338 to 710 of the family's 1533-position model. The record is from RNAcentral.